GGUCAAACUGGAAUGUUUGACAACGCGACAAAUCGGUGAUUUGCAAAUUUUAGUGAUGCUUUGGCAAAGUUUUCCUCCAUCACUUAGUAGAUUUGCUCCGGCAUUUCAUCGAAGAGUCCCUUUGGCCUCUCUUUGCGGCGACAGAUUAUGCGCGUUCUGUGCGUAGAGCUCGUUCCACCCAUCGCAUCUAAGGCAUAGCUUAUCCGUUUUAAGCAUUACGUAUGGAAGCAUAUUCUCCUUCUUCCAAUGCCGGAAGCGCAGCACGACAUCGCGCAGCUCAUCAGGUCUUGCGGGAAUUCCAGAAAUCUCUUGAGGGCACAGGAGCUCCAUCGCCGGAUCCUUGCGGAAAACCCACGCGACAGGUUUCUGGCCAAUUUGGC
This 380-nucleotide long non-coding RNA is filed under the name Selaginella moellendorffii. RNAcentral's name for it is "long non-coding RNA (SMOE_LNC000967)". The record is from RNAcentral. Lineage: Eukaryota; Viridiplantae; Streptophyta; Lycopodiopsida; Selaginellales; Selaginellaceae.